Non-coding RNA from Helianthus annuus (common sunflower), 80 nucleotides. The record is from Rfam. Lineage: Eukaryota; Viridiplantae; Streptophyta; Magnoliopsida; Asterales; Asteraceae.
GACAGUUUGGCCGAGUGGUCUAAGGCGCCAGAUUUAGGCUCUGGUCCGAAAUGGCGUGGCUUCAAAUCCCACAGCUGUCA